CUGGGCUCAGUUGUGUUUGGAGAGAGCUGAGAACAAGCAAGUUUUGGUAGCUGGGGUGUUUGGUAUGAAGUAGUAGGGCAGUGUGGGAAUUUGGAUGAGGUCAUUAAUGCUUUGGAGGUGGGUGAGCUGAAGGUGGUGUCACCAAAACAUCUUGGUGACUGAGCUCAGGAAGCUUGUCAGGUGAUUUGGGGCUAGAGGCUUUAUCAUGGCAGAAAACCCAAAGCCUGUGCUUUCUGAGUGCACUCUGCAUGUUCAGAGCUGUCCUCAGAGGAAGGGAGUAAGGAAAGAAGAUACCUUGCUACCUGGUGCAGACUAAGUGGUACCAGGUCAGAGGUCCGUUUCUGGUUGGAUGAGGGUCUACCAGGAUAGUAUGGUGUUCUUCAGUGCAAGAAAAUUGCAUCUGGAUUAAGAACAACAGAUUUCCCUGAGCUGCUCCAGUCACGCAUAACAUUUUUUCAGAAUCCUUAGAUGACUGCUAAUUGGAUCAUUGUAAAUGAAAUAAAAUCCAGGUGCUUGUUUUGGGAAAGCAA
RNAcentral lists this long non-coding RNA (530 nucleotides) under Gallus gallus (chicken). Its description in RNAcentral is "lncRNA (ENSGALG00010022678.1)". Lineage: Eukaryota; Metazoa; Chordata; Aves; Galliformes; Phasianidae. The record is from RNAcentral.